RNAcentral lists this transfer RNA (77 nucleotides) under Alphaproteobacteria bacterium. Its description in RNAcentral is "tRNA-Lys". It matches the Rfam family "tRNA". From Rfam's summary of the family: Transfer RNA (tRNA) molecules are approximately 80 nucleotides in length. RNAcentral also lists the same sequence under 1 other name. Lineage: Bacteria; Pseudomonadati; Pseudomonadota; Alphaproteobacteria. The record is from RNAcentral.
GGAGACAUAGCUCAGCUGGCUAGAGCAACUGACUUUUAAUCAGUGGGUCCAGGGUUCGAAUCCCUGUGUCUCCACCA